RNAcentral lists this ribosomal RNA (431 nucleotides) under uncultured bacterium. Its description in RNAcentral is "partial 16S ribosomal RNA". It matches the Rfam family "Bacterial small subunit ribosomal RNA", at positions 338 to 795 of the family's 1533-position model. The record is from RNAcentral.
CCUACGGAGGCAGCAGUGGGGAAUCUUGGACAAUGGGCGCAAGCCUGAUCCAGCCAUGCCGCGUGAGUGACGAAGGCCUUAGGGUUGUAAAGCUCUUUUAGCAGGGAAGCGGUACCUGCAGAAUAAGCCCCGGCUAACUUCGUGCCAGCAGCCGCGGUGAUACGAAGGGGGCUAGCGUUGUUCGGAAUUACUGGGCGUAAAGCGCACGUAGGCGGAUCAUUUAGUCAGGGGUGAAAUCCCGGGGCUCAACCUCGGAACUGCCUUUGAUACUGAUGGUCUCGAGUCCGAUAGAGGUGAGUGGAAUUCCUAGUGUAGAGGUGAAAUUCGUAGAUAUUAGGAAGAACACCAGUGGCGAAGGCGGCUCACUGGAUCGGACUGACGCUGAGGUGCGAAAGCGUGGGGAGCAAACAGGAUUAGAUACCCUUGUAGUC